RNAcentral lists this ribosomal RNA (230 nucleotides) under uncultured bacterium. RNAcentral's name for it is "partial 16S ribosomal RNA". It matches the Rfam family "Bacterial small subunit ribosomal RNA", at positions 109 to 339 of the family's 1533-position model. The record is from RNAcentral.
CGUAACGCGUAUAGAAUCUACCUUUUACAGGGGGAUAGCCUUUAGAAAUGAAGAUUAAUAUCCCAUAGUAUUGCGAAAUGGCAUCAUUUUGUAAUUAAAGAUUUAUCGGUAAAAGAUGACUAUGCGUCCUAUUAGCUAGAUGGUAAGGUAAUGGCUUACCAUGGCAAUGAUAGGUAGGGGUCCUGAGAGGGAGAUCCCCCACACUGGUACUGAGACACGGACCAGACUCC